This 1949-nucleotide unclassified non-coding RNA is filed under the name Ceratitis capitata (Mediterranean fruit fly). Its description in RNAcentral is "tropomodulin, transcript variant X9". Lineage: Eukaryota; Metazoa; Arthropoda; Insecta; Diptera; Tephritidae. The record is from RNAcentral.
UAAAAAAGUUUAACCAUGGACUCCCCCAAAGAAGGUCAAAAAACUGAAACAUUCGUUCCUGAAUUUCAGAAAUUAAAAUUACGUCCAGUGCCGAAAGUGAAAAGGCGUGCGCCACAACCACCAACCACUUUGCCACUGAGAAAUACUUCAUCCACAACCAAAACUACCACUCUCACCACUCCCGCCAAAUUGUAUGGCAAGGAUUUGAGCGAAUAUGAUGAGGUUGAUGUUGAUGCAUUAUUGGCGCAAUUGUCACCAGAGGAAAUCAAUAUUCUGGCCAAAGAAGUUGAUCCCGAUGACAAUUUCCUGCCACCCGAUCAACGUUGCAGUUACGAAUGCGCUAAAGAUCCCACCGGUCCAUUGAAUCGUAAAAAAUUAAUUGAGCACAUUAAUAAGCAAGCUUUAGAAGCACCCGAUGAGCCAGAAUUCGAACCGUACGUAAAGGGUACUGUAAGAGGUAAGAAAUGGGUGCCGCCACCACGGGAUGAUAGCGAAGUUGCCGCUGAGGAACAGAUCGCCAUCGAUUUGGGUGAAGAAUAUGAGCAUGCGUUGAGCGAUGCAACGCAAGAGGAGAUUAUCGAUUUGGCAGCUAUUCUUGGUUUCCAUUCAAUGAUGAAUCAGGAUCAAUAUCACGCUUCAUUGUUGAACAAGGGACAACCAGUUGGUAUGGGUUGGGAUGGCAUUACAAAAUCAACUCAACCAAAAUUGUUCCCAAUGGAUCCACCGAAUAACACAGAUGUCGAAGAAUCAAUUAAACGUGUUAAAGAUAACGAUGCUAAAUUGAUUGAACUGAACUUAAAUAAUAUUAAGAAUAUUUCCGAUGAGAAAUUUGAACAACUUUUCCAAGUACUGCCCGAUAAUGAAAAUUUGGAAGUUCUUUCCUUAACAAAUGUUGGUCUCACUGACAAGACAGCUCUCUUAUUGGCUGAAGCAAUUGAGAAAAGCAAAACCUUGAGAGUAUUAAAUGUUGAGACAAAUUUCAUUAGUCCGCCUGUUAUUGUGACCUUAGUAAAAGCCCUGCUCAAAUGCCGCACAAUUGAAGAAUUCAGGGCAUCCAAUCAGCGAUCCUCAGUGCUCGGCAAUAAGAUCGAAAUGGAAAUAACCGAAUUGGUGGAAAAGAAUCCAUCCCUACUCAGAUUAGGUCUGCAUUUGGAAUUCAACGAUGCACGUCACAGAGUCGCCGCACAUUUGCAGCGCAACAUCGACAGAAUACGUGUAAAUCGCCUAAACCAGCGUAAAUAAAUUGUGUGAACCACCAAACAAUGUACCAACCAACAAACCAUUCAACCAGCCAAUUUGUUGUUCACGUUAAUCGCAAGCAAACAGUAAAACAAAAGCCACUACAAUUCGCAUACAUAAUUAAACAAACAAAAAUAAAAAAAAAAUAAAUAAAAAAGUACACGAAAUGCAACAAAAAUUGUAAUUGUAAUUUUUAAAACUCCUCUUGUAUUGUUAAAUAAAUGUUUGUAAAUCAUGUUAACGCAAAAAAUAGUCGCCAACGCAAACCACCAAAACAUUUGUUCUACCACAUACUAUACUCACACGCUCCAAUUGCUACAUCAACCAACUCUAAUACAACUGCCAACAAGACCAAAACAUCAUAUACCGCCAGCCACAACCACACCCACAGCGAAACAGUGAAAAGUUCUCCAACAACGUGUGUAAUCAAGCAAGAAAAGAAAAGUCCCAAUUGAAUGUGAUUUUGCAAUGAAGAAAAAGUGGCCGCCUAAGACGUUUGGGUCACUUCAGUUGCAAUUAUACUGUUGGCGCAUGGCAGUAGAUAAAGUGCUUACAUACAUACAUAUACAUGAACAUUUACUGCGUUAUAUAAAACAAUGUGAAUUGAGUGCGAAAUAUGGAGCAAAAACACAGGCAACUACGCGCAAUGAAAGUGGUUUAAUUGCAGUGCUGCAGGCGAGAGUGUUGCCAUUGUUUUUUUUUUUUUUUUU